CUACGUGCCAGCAGCCGCGGUAAUACGGAAGGUCCGGGCGUUAUCCGGAUUUAUUGGGUUUAAAGGGAGCGUAGGCUGGAGAUUAAGUGUGUUGUGAAAUGUAGACGCUCAACGUCUGACUUGCAGCGCAUACUGGUUUCCUUGAGUACGCACAACGUUGGCGGAAUUCGUCGUGUAGCGGUGAAAUGCUUAGAUAUGACGAAGAACUCCGAUUGCGAAGGCAGCUGACGGGAGCGCAACUGACGCUGAAGCUCGAAGGUGCGGGUAUCGAACAGGAUUAGAUACCCUGGUAGUCCGCACAGUAAACGAUGGAUGCCCGCUGUUGGUACUUGGUAUCAGCGGCUAAGCGAAAGCAUUAAGCAUCCCACCUGGGGAGUACGCCGGCAACGGUGAAACUCAAAGGAAUUGACGGGGGCCCGCACAAGCGGAGGAACAUGUGGUUUAAUUCGAUGAUACGCGAGGAACCUUACCCGGGCUUGAA
RNAcentral lists this ribosomal RNA (481 nucleotides) under uncultured bacterium. Its description in RNAcentral is "bacterial SSU rRNA". It matches the Rfam family "Bacterial small subunit ribosomal RNA", at positions 501 to 985 of the family's 1533-position model. The record is from RNAcentral.